Molecule: ribosomal RNA, 464 nt
Filed under: uncultured bacterium
Lineage: Bacteria
Description: partial 16S ribosomal RNA
Rfam family: Bacterial small subunit ribosomal RNA
Source: RNAcentral
GACGAACGCUGGCGGCGUGCUUAACACAUGCAAGUCGAACGGAAAGGCCCUGCUUGCAGGGUACUCGAGUGGCGAACGGGUGAGUAACACGUGGGUGAUCUGCCCUGCACUUCGGGAUAAGCCUGGGAAACUGGGUCUAAUACCGGAUAGGAGCCAUUUUUAGUGUGAUGGUUGGAAAGUUUUUUCGGUGUAGGAUGAGCUCGCGGCCUAUCAGCUUGUUGGUGGGGUAAUGGCCUACCAAGGCGGCGACGGGUAGCCGGCCUGAGAGGGUGGACGGCCACAUUGGGACUGAGAUACGGCCCAGACUCCGACGGGAGGCAGCAGUGGGGAAUAUUGCACAAUGGGCGCAAGCCUGAUGCAGCGACGCCGCGUGGGGGAUGACGGCCUUCGGGUUGUAAACUCCUUUCGCUAGGGACGAAGCUUUUUGUGACGGUACCUAGAUAAGAAGCACCGGCUAACUACGU